Molecule: ribosomal RNA, 752 nt
Filed under: uncultured bacterium
Lineage: Bacteria
Description: bacterial SSU rRNA
Rfam family: Bacterial small subunit ribosomal RNA
Source: RNAcentral
UNUGACUUGAGUGCAGAAGGGGAGAGUGGAAUUCCAUGUGUAGCGGUGAAAUGCGUAGAUAUAUGGAGGAACACCAGUGGCGAAAGCGGCUCUCUGGUCUGUCACUGACGCUGAGGCUCGAAAGCGUGGGUAGCGAACAGGAUUAGAUACCCUGGUAGUNCACGCCGUAAACGAUGAGUGCUAGGUGUUAGGCCCUUUCCGGGGCUUAGUGCCGGAGCUAACGCAAUAAGCACUCCGCCUGGGGAGUACGACCGCAAGGUUGAAACUCAAAGGAAUUGACGGGGGCCCGCACAAGCGGUGGAGCAUGUGGUUUAAUUCGAAGCAACGCGAAGAACCUUACCAGGUCUUGACAUCCCGAUGCUAUUCUUAGAGAUAGGAAGUUACUUCGGUACAUCGGAGACAGGUGGUGCAUGGUUGUCGUCAGCUCGUGUCGUGAGAUGUUGGGUUAAGNCCCGCAACGAGCGCAACCCUUAUUGUUAGUUGCCAUCAUUAAGUUGGGCACUCUAGCGAGACUGCCGGUAAUAAACCGGAGGAAGGUGGGGAUGACGUCAAAUCAUCAUGCCCCUUAUGACCUGGGCUACACACGUGCUACAAUGGUCGGUACAACGAGUUGCGAGCCGGUGACGGCAAGCUAAUCUCUGAAAGCCGAUCUCAGUUCGGAUUGGAGGCUGCAACUCGCCUCCAUGAAGUCGGAAUCGCUAGUAAUCGCGGAUCAGCACGCCGCGGUGAAUACGUUCCCGGGCCUUGUNCAC